UCUGCCUCUUUGUCAGUCUCAGCCAAUCCUAUAGGGAAGCACUGUGAUUGGAUCAGGCUACCACUUCUGAUGAUGUCAGCAGACUGCUUGUUUUUUUUUUUUUAGGCAAACAGCAUGCAGAUCUACAGCUUCUGGCUUGAAUACAGUAAGAUUUUGCUAUAUUUAUGGAGGCAUGAGGGGCCCAGGGGGGCUAGAUGGUGGUUUUAACAC
Molecule: non-coding RNA, 210 nt
Organism: Pelobates cultripes (western spadefoot toad)
Lineage: Eukaryota; Metazoa; Chordata; Amphibia; Anura; Pelobatidae
Source: the annotation of a GenBank genome assembly